Molecule: ribosomal RNA, 253 nt
Filed under: uncultured bacterium
Lineage: Bacteria
Description: partial 16S ribosomal RNA
Rfam family: Bacterial small subunit ribosomal RNA
Source: RNAcentral
UACGUAGGGGGCGAGCGUUAUCCGGAGUUACUGGGCGUAAAGAGCACGUAGGCGGUCUGCUAAGUUCGGAGUGACAGUCACCAGCUUAACUGGUGAAGUACUUUGAAAACUGGCGGACUUGAGAGCGAGAGAGGGACAUGGAAUUCCGGGUGGAGCGGUGAAAUGCGUAGAGAUCCGGAGGAACACCAAAGGCGAAGGCAGUGUCCUGGCUCGUUUCUGACGCUGAGGUGCGAAAGCCAGGGGAGCGAACGGG